Molecule: ribosomal RNA, 289 nt
Filed under: uncultured bacterium
Lineage: Bacteria
Description: partial 16S ribosomal RNA
Rfam family: Bacterial small subunit ribosomal RNA
Source: RNAcentral
GAUGAACGCUAGCGGCAGGCUUAACACAUGCAAGUCGAGGGGUAUUGGUUUUCGGACCAAGAGACCGGCGCACGGGUGCGUAACGCGUAUGCAAUCUACCUUUUGCAGAGGGAUAGCCCAGAGAAAUUUGGAUUAAUACCUCAUAGUAUAGUACUUUGGCAUCAAGGAACUAUUAAAGUCACAACGGCAAAAGAUGAGCAUGCGUCCCAUUAGCUAGUUGGUAAGGUAACGGCUUACCGGAAGCUACGAUGGUAGGGUCCUGAGAGGGAGAUCCCCACACUGGUACUGA